UACGUAGGGCGCAAGCGUUGUCCGGAAUUAUUGGGCGUAAAGAGCUCGUAGGCGGCUUGUCACGUCGGGUGUGAAAGCCCGGGGCUUAACCCCGGGUCUGCAUUCGAUACGGGCUAGCUAGAGUGUGGUAGGGGAGAUCGGAAUUCCUGGUGUAGCGGUGAAAUGCGCAGAUAUCAGGAGGAACACCGGUGGCGAAGGCGGUUCUCUGGGCCAUUACUGACGCUGAGGAGCGAAAGCGUGGGGAGCGAACAGG
RNAcentral lists this ribosomal RNA (253 nucleotides) under uncultured bacterium. RNAcentral's name for it is "partial 16S ribosomal RNA". It matches the Rfam family "Bacterial small subunit ribosomal RNA", at positions 524 to 776 of the family's 1533-position model. The record is from RNAcentral.